This 301-nucleotide ribosomal RNA is filed under the name uncultured bacterium. RNAcentral describes it as "partial 16S ribosomal RNA". It matches the Rfam family "Bacterial small subunit ribosomal RNA", at positions 509 to 808 of the family's 1533-position model. The record is from RNAcentral.
CAGUCGCCACGGUAAUACAGAGGGUGCGAGCGUUAAUCGGAUUUACUGGGCGUAAAGCGUGCGUAGGCGGCUUUUUAAGUCGGAUGUGAAAUCCCUGAGCUUAACUUAGGAAUUGCAUUCGAUACUGGGAAGCUAGAGUAUGGGAGAGGAUGGUAGAAUUCCAGGUGUAGCGGUGAAAUGCGUAGAGAUCUGGAGGAAUACCGAUGGCGAAGGCAGCCAUCUGGCCUAAUACUGACGCUGAGGUACGAAAGCAUGGGGAGCAAACAGGAUUAGAUACCCCCGAGUCCCUGUCUCUUAUACA